This 976-nucleotide non-coding RNA is filed under the name Manacus manacus. RNAcentral's name for it is "12S ribosomal RNA". It matches the Rfam family "Bacterial small subunit ribosomal RNA". The record is from RNAcentral. Lineage: Eukaryota; Metazoa; Chordata; Aves; Passeriformes; Pipridae.
AAAAGACUUAGUCCUAACCUUACAGUUAGUUCUUGCCAAAUAUAUACAUGCAAGUAUCCGCAUCCCAGUGAAAAUGCCCUCAGCACCUUAAAAAGACAGCAGGAGCAGGCAUCAGGCACACCACUCCAAUUGUAGCCCAAAACGCCUUGCCUAGCCACACCCCCACGGGUUUUCAGCAGUAAUCAAUAUUAAGCAAUAAGUGUAAACUUGACUUAGUUAAAGCAACUUACCAGGGUUGGUAAAUCUUGUGCCAGCCACUGCGGUCACACAAGAAACCCAAAUUAACUUUAUACGGCGUAAAGAGUGGUUUUUCAUUAUCACUUCAACUAAGACUGAAAUGUAACCAAGCUGUUAUAAGAACAAGAUGCAUCCAAUACUCCCAUAGAAAUGAUCUUAGCUUCAUGAUCAACAAAACUCCACGAAAGCCAGGACACAAACUGGGAUUAGAUACCCCACUAUGCCCGGCCCUAAAUCCUGAUGCUUUCACCACUUAAGCAUCCGCCUGAGAACUACGAGCACAAACGCUUAAAACUCUAAGGACUUGGCGGGGCUCCAAACCCACCUAGAGGAGCCUGUUCUAUAACCGAUAACCCACGAUACACCCAACCAUCCCUUGCCAAAUCAGCCUAUAUACCGCCGUCGUCAGCCCACCCCUAAACUGAGGUUUAACAGUGGGCACAACAGCAACAUCCCACUAAUAAGACAGGUCAAGGUAUAGCUCAUGAGAUGGUAGAAAUGGGCUACAUUUUCUAGCAUAGAAUACCUCACGACAAGGAGUGUGAAAUCACUCCUAAAAGGCGGAUUUAGCAGUAAAGCAGGAUAAUAAUGCCUCCUUUAAGCUGGCUCUGAAGCACGUACAUACCGCCCGUCACCCUCCUCACAAGCUAUGAUUAAUUUUAUUUAUAAUAAACCCCUAAGCUAGAGAUGAGGCAAGUCGUAACAAGGUAAGUGUACCGGAAGGUGCACUUAGUCUACC